AAAACUAGGUAAUUACCCGUGCGUUGCAUCGGGGGCAUAAAUAUCCAGUUGGUUUCACAUCAAUUGUGUUUUGUUUAGGAUCCUCAUGCACAUCAAAUAGCAUUGUCGAAUUUGAUAACCUUGAAAUCCUCCUCCUUUGUCUUCCCAUAUUUGUCUCCCCAAUCCAUCAUCACCAUUGUCGUUAAUGGUAUAUCCGGCUUACAAUCAUCCAACCCUUCGACAAUACCAAGGUAUGUCGCGAACGGACAAGCGCCAAGUCAACAUGCUGAUUACUGUAAAAAUACAUCAGAUUGACGUCAAAUAAUAAAAAAUGUAGAAAUAAAUUUUGAUUCAUAGCUAGUACAAAUGUAGAAGAAUAAACCAUCUAAAAUGUGUGGUACGUGGUUUGCUUGCAAACAUUCUUAUAUGUCUAUGUUUUUGAACAUAAGUAAGAUAAGAUCCAUUGUGCAUGACGUAUGAAAUAUAUCAAAACAGAAGUUGGAUGGAUGGAUGUGUAAUUGAUCCAGUGCUGCAUAGAUCGAAAAUAUUCGACAAAGUGUCGGGCUGUAUUAUUUAGACCAUUCACAUCCAUCAACCGCAUGGGAAAAUAUUGUAGUGAACCCCUCUAUGCUGAACCCCGCAGUUCCGAAUCUACAUCACCUUGGCACUCAAUAGCGAAGCCGGCGACUGAAUUUGCAUAAUAGAAAACAGCAGCCCCAUCUAAGUUAAUUUGUCUAGUAGAGAAGUACCUGAUGCCGGGGACAAGAGUGACGGCACACCCAGAGCGGCUAGGCGGGCACGCAGCAGCUAAAGCUCGGAGUAACCACCUUGGCGAGCAGGCUGUCCAAGGCGAGUCGUUUGAUCGG
This 845-nucleotide long non-coding RNA is filed under the name Triticum aestivum (bread wheat). RNAcentral describes it as "long non-coding RNA (TAES_LNC011933)". Lineage: Eukaryota; Viridiplantae; Streptophyta; Magnoliopsida; Poales; Poaceae. The record is from RNAcentral.